GAAGGUAUAGCCCAGUGGUGGAGCACAUGCUUAGCAUGCACCGUGUCCUGGGUUCAAUCCCCAGCACCUCCA
Molecule: transfer RNA, 72 nt
Filed under: Camelus bactrianus (Bactrian camel)
Lineage: Eukaryota; Metazoa; Chordata; Mammalia; Artiodactyla; Camelidae
Also listed under: 1 other name
Rfam family: tRNA
About the family: Transfer RNA (tRNA) molecules are approximately 80 nucleotides in length. Their secondary structure includes four short double-helical elements and three loops (D, anti-codon, and T loops). Further hydrogen bonds mediate the characteristic L-shaped molecular structure. tRNAs have two regions of fundamental functional importance: the anti-codon, which is responsible for specific mRNA codon recognition, and the 3' end, to which the tRNAs corresponding amino acid is attached (by aminoacyl-tRNA synthetases). tRNAs cope with the degeneracy of the genetic code in two manners: having more than one tRNA (with a specific anti-codon) for a particular amino acid; and 'wobble' base-pairing, i.e. permitting non-standard base-pairing at the 3rd anti-codon position.
Source: Rfam by way of RNAcentral